UUCCGGUUGAUCCUGCCGGAGGCGACCGCUUUGGGAGUUCGAUUAAGCCAUGCGAGUCGUGAGUCUUAGGGACUCGGCAUACUGCUCAGUAACACGUGGAUAACCUGCCCUAUCGUCUGGAAUAACCUCGGGAAACUGAGAAUAAGGCCGGAUAGUUCACAAUGCCUGGAACGGUUUGUGAAUCAAGGUAGGAUGGGUCUGCGGCGUAUCAGGUUGUAGGGGGUGUAAAGGACCCCCUAGCCUUCGACGCGUACGGGUGUUGGGAGACAUAGCCCGGAGAUGGAUUCUGAGACACGAAUCCAGACCCUACGGGGUGCAGCAGGCGCGAAAACUUCACACUGCAGGAAACUGUGAUGAGGGAACUCCUAGUGCAUGCACUAUGUGUAUGUAGAUCCUACUCUUAACAAGUAGAGGGAAAGGGCUGGGAAAGACCGGUGCCAGCCGCCGCGGUAAUACCGGCAGCUCAAGUGGUCGUCGCUUUUAUUGGGCCUAAAACGUCCGUAGCCUGUUUGGUAAAUCUGUGGGUAAAUCAACUCGCUCAACGAGUUGAAUUCUGCAGAGACUGCCAGACUAGGGACCGGGAGAGGUGUGGGGUACUCGAGGGGUAGGGGUAAAAUCCUGUCAUCCUUUGAGGACCACCAGUUGCGAAGGCGCCACACUGGAACGGAUCCGACGGUCAGGGACGAAGCCUAGGGGCACGAACCGGAUUAGAUACCCGGGUAGUCCUAGGUGUAAACGCUGUGAACUUGGUGUCGGGGAUCCGUCAUGGGUCCCCGGUGCCGGAGUGAAGAUGUUAAGUUCACUGCCUGGGGAGUACGGUCGCAAGGCUGAAACUUAAAGGAAUUGGCGGGGGAGCACUGCAACGGGAGGAGCGUGCGGUUUAAUUGGAUCAACGCCGGA
This 900-nucleotide ribosomal RNA is filed under the name uncultured archaeon. RNAcentral's name for it is "bacterial SSU rRNA". It matches the Rfam family "Archaeal small subunit ribosomal RNA", at positions 1 to 922 of the family's 1478-position model. The record is from RNAcentral.